GAGCAACUGGCGGCAAAUUCAGAGGAACUCACUGGAAUAACACAGAAUUAUGAGUUAUUAUUGUUAAUUCACUGGAAUAACUGACAGAAUUCAGAAAAGGACUACACUUAAGAUUACAAUUUUAUUAUAGUCAAAAGGAUAAAAAUCAGGAGCCAAAAGAAGAGAUGCAUAGAGUGGGAUCUGGGAGGACCUCAAAUGUGAAGAUUCCAUAUCCUGUGCCCAUGGGGUCAGGACACAUCACCCUCCUGGCACUCGGUUGUGAAUCACAAACCUGGGAGGCUCACCUGAGCUUCCUAUCUAGUUUUUUUAUGGGUUUCUUUGUGUAGGUACAACUCAUGGAAUCAGUGCCCAGUUGGGUGAACUCAGUCUCCAGGGCUAUUCCAUGGUUCAGAGUCCUAACCAUCUAGUCAUAUGGUUGGCCUUUCUGGCCCAUCCAGCCCCACUCUAAGUUACAGGUGUGACCUGGCUCUACCUUGAGUCAUCUCAUUAGCAUGAACUAUCAGGUGUGAUUGGGGCCCAUGAUGAAUAAAAAGACAAUCCAAUCACUCAAAAAUUUCUGAGAGAGUAGAGGGUAUUUCCCAGGAACCUGGAGCAAAGGUCAGCCAAGUUCUUUAUCAUACAGCAGAUGCCAUGGCCAAGAGGAAGCUCAAAGGCGGGUCUGGGACUCAAGACAGAAAGGAGCAAUACACAUCCCCAGUCUGGACUGCAACUGCAAGCACCUAAGGCCCAGGACUCUGACACACACACACACACAACCAAUACCCCCUGUCCUCAGAGACCUGGGCAUCCUCGCACAGCACUCAGAACCCGUGGAGCCAGACGGUCCUCUCCAUGAUCAUCCCAGCUCCGGGAAGGUCACCUGGCAGGUGAGUUGGUGCUUUGGUCUUGUGGCCGUGGGAUGAGGGUGAGUGCUGAGGAGUGGGGGCAGCUCCAGGCAAGAAGGAAUAUAGCGAAGGCCCUACUCACACGGGCCCGUGGCAAGGCACACGUUAGGUU
RNAcentral lists this long non-coding RNA (996 nucleotides) under Dasypus novemcinctus (nine-banded armadillo). RNAcentral's name for it is "lncRNA (ENSDNOG00000050532.1)". Lineage: Eukaryota; Metazoa; Chordata; Mammalia; Cingulata; Dasypodidae. The record is from RNAcentral.